AGUACUCAAGGUUGGUUUCUUUUUACUACAGAAACUGAAUGAACAGAAGAAUCUACGAUUGGUUUGUGUAUAAAUACUACUAAUAGUGCCUUUCUUUAUUUCUCAUCUCUCCCCAAUCGUUCAUCAUUCCAAAUAUACUUUGAAUCCUGAAAAGCCAACAUGAAGUUUUCAUUAUCCCUCACUCAAUUUCUCUGUUCCAUUUUGUUUCUCUUCCAUUUUCAUACAACAAUUUCAUCAUCAUUCUCCUCAAAUUACUCCUCUUCUAAUCAUUUGUGUGCUCCUCACCAAAGUCUCUCUCUCCUUCAAUUCAACCAAUCCUUUUCCAUUAAUAGUUCUGCUUCUUGGGAGGGUUGCCAAUAUCCCAAGACAGAGUCAUGGAAAGACGGUACAGAUUGCUGCUUGUGGGAUGGGGUCACUUGUGAUAGGAAAACCGGGCAAGUCACUGGACUGAACCUCUCUUGCAGCAUGCUUUACGGCACCCUCCAUUCCAAUAAUUCUCUCUUCUCUCUUCAUCAUCUUCAGAAGCUCGAUCUCUCUAUCAAUGAUUUCAACAGCUCCCAUAUUUCUUCUCGAUUUGGUCAGUUUUCCAAUCUGAAACAUCUUAAUCUAAAUAAUUCCAAUUUCGCAGGCCAAGUUCCAUUAGAAGUCUCCCGUCUCUCCAAAUUGAUUUCUCUUGAUCUCUCUGGAAACACCGAUCUAAGAGUAGGACCAAUUUCUUUUGACAAGCUUGUUCGAAACCUAACCAAGCUAAGAGAACUCGAUUUGACUUUGGUAGACAUGUCACUCGUUGUACCCAGUUCCUUGAUGAAUCUGUCUUCUUCUUUGUCAUUUCUUUCCCUUAAAGAUUGUAGACUGCAAGGAAAAUUCCCAUCCUCAAUGGGAAACCUUAAGCACCUCCAGUAUUUGGAUCUUGCAUUUAACCAUUUUACUGGUUCAAUUCCAUAUGAUUUUGGGCAAUUCACUAAGCUGGUUUCACUUUCUCUCUGGGGAAACGACUAUCUAAGUGUAGCACCAGAUUCUUUUGACAAGAUUGUUCAAAACCUAACAAAGCUAAGAGAUCUCAAUUUGGGUUCUGUAAAUAUGUCUUUGGUUGUACCUAAUUCCUUGACGAAUCUGUCCUCUACUUUGUCAUCUCUUUCCCUUUCGGGCUGUGGAUUGCAAGGGAAAAUCCCAGGUAAUAUCUUUCUCCUACCAAACCUUGAAUCACUCUAUUUGUCAUACAACGAAGGCCUCACAGGCUCUUUUCCUUCCUCCAAUGUGAGUAAUGUCCUCCGGGUGUUGGUCCUUUCUGAUACAAGAAUUUCAAUUUAUCUAGAAAAUGACGCCAUCAGUAAUUUAAAGUCGUUAAAGUAUAUGAUACUUAGUAAUUGUAGCAUUGUGGGGUCAAAACUAGCUCAGUUAGGUAAUCUUACACGGCUCUUUCAAUUAGACCUCUCAAACAACAAUUUUAGUGGUCAGAUCCCAUCUUCAUUUGAAAACCUUGUGCAGCUUGGUUACUUGGAUCUCAGUUCCAAUAAUUUUACAGGUCAGAUUCCAUCAUCACUUGGAAAUCUUGUGCAGCUCAAUACCUUGAAACUCAAUUCCAAUAACUUGAUGGGUCAGAUUUCAGAUUCUUUCGCUAACCUAACCCUACUCGUAUAUUUAGAUUUAUCAAACAAUCAACUCCAAGGCCCGAUCCAUUUUCAACUAAGUACCAUUCUACAUCUAGACCGAUUAUUUUUAUAUGGUAACUCACUCAAUGGGACGAUACCAUCCUUUUUAUUUGCUCUCCCUUUAUUAGAUUUGGACCUUCAUAAUAAUCAAUUCAUAGGCAAUAUAAGUGAAUUCCAACACAAUUCAUUACAAUUCCUUGAUUUGAGCAAUAACUCAUUGCAUGGUCCCAUCCCAAGUUCAAUUUUCAAACUUGAGAACUUGGGACUUCUUCUUGCAUCCAACAAUAAAUUGACAUGGGAGGUUCCUUCUUCAAUUUGCAAGUUAAAAUUCCUUCUAGUCCUGGACCUUUCCAACAAUAACUUGAGUGGUUCUGCACCACAAUGUUUGGGAAACUUCAGCAACAGACUCUCAGUUUUGCAUCUAGGCAUGAACAAUCUCCGAGGCACUAUUCCAUCAACAUUUUCAGAGGGAAGUAACUUGCAAUAUCUCAACCUCAAUGGCAAUGAAUUAGAAGGGAAAAUACCAUUGUCUAUCGUCAACUGCACAAUGCUGGAGUUUCUUAAUCUUGGUAACAAUAAGAUUGAGGAUACAUUCCCCUAUUUCCUAGAAAUGCUUCCAGAGCUAAAGAUUCUUGUUCUAAAAUCCAAUAAACUCCAAGGUUUUAUGAAGGGUCCGACUACUUUUAAUUCCUUCUCCAAAUUACAGAUUCUUGACAUCUCUGAAAAUAAUUUGACCGGACCAUUGCCAGAAGAGUUUUUCAAUGGUCUUGAAGGAAUGAUGAAUGUCGAUCAAGAUAUGAUUUACAUGACGGCAAAAAAUUCCUCUGGCUACACUUAUUCAAUAAAAAUGACAUGGAAAGGGUUGGAAAUUGAGUUUGUGAAAAUCCAAAGUAUCCUCAGAGUACUUGAUUUAUCAAAAAACAGUUUCACCGGUGAGAUUCCAAAACCAAUUGGAAAGCUUAAAGGACUUCAACAACUUAACCUCUCUCAUAAUUUCCUUACAGGCCAUAUCCAAUCUUCAUUAGGGUUUUUAACCAAUCUACAGUCAUUAGAUAUGUCUUCAAAUAUGCUUACGGGAAGGAUUCCCAUGCAGUUGACAGAUCUAACAUUUCUUCAAGUCUUAAACCUUUCACAAAACAAACUCGAGGGGCCCAUACCUGUUGGGAAGCAGUUCAACACGUUUGAUCCAAGCUCAUUUCAAGGAAACUUGGGUUUAUGUGGAUUCCCAAUGCCAACAAAAUGCAACAAUGGCGUGGUACCACCAUUACCGCCAUCAAACUUUAAUGAAGGAGAUGAUUCAACAUUGUUUGAAGAUGGGUUUGGAUGGAAAGCUGUGGCAAUGGGGUAUGGAUGUGGGUUUGUAUUUGGAGUCACAAUGGGUUAUAUUGUGUUUAGAACAAGACGACCUGCAUGGUUUCAUAGAAUGGUUGAACGUCAAUGGAAUCUGAAGGCAGGAAGAACAAAGAAGAAUGCUCGCAUACAUGGUGCAAGAAGAAAUUAAAAAAUGCAUUUGGUAAAUUCAACACAAUUUCAAUGAAGGUUUUACCUCACGAGAUACCAAGUAGAGUUGAUAUUGGAACAACACUAAAGUGGCAGAUUCAUAGUACUGGAUUUCUGUUGUUCAUUUUUUUUUUUUACUUCUAUGAAAAAAAGUCAAAGAAUGUAACAGUUAAUGUAUGUUGUAGUUUAUGUUAAACUAUAGAAUCAUGCUUUAUAUUACCAAAUCAAUAUUAAUUAGUAGAGGGAAAUAGAACAAAAACAAUUAAGAAAUUAAGAACAACAAAUAUAGUUAAAUUUCUUUAAAUGUAUAAAAAAUAUUUUAUAAGUGAUAAUACUAGUUUUGAGACGCGCCAAAAUGAGCUGAUAUAGAAAAUUUUAGUAUCAAAACGAAAGGGGAAAAAAGAGAAGGGAAACACAGAGAACGGGAGGAAGUGAAAAAAAAAAAAGGAGAGGAACUGAAAAAUUAAAAAAAGGAAAAAAGGAGAGAAGAACAAAAAACCAGAGAGAGGAGGAACAAGCAAAGAGAAGAACAGAAAAGAGAGAACAGGACGUACAACACAGAGGGCUGCACCGAGGAUACCAGGAGGAACAAGCACCGAGAAGAACAAAACAGAGAACACAAAAACACAGAGGAACCAGAGAGGAGAACGACUAGAGAGAAACCAAAAAAAGACAGAGGCAGAAUUGAAGAAAGGAGCGUUAACGACCAACAACCUCACAUCUUCGUCUGUUUCAGUUACCAACGAUUCUGUGUAAAAGUUUCAGCGCCAUCGUCUUUGUCUGUCUCAGUUAAGGUACAUGGAAACUAUCCAUACCCCAUCAUUUCCAUGUCCAAGCACGCAUGGCAAACAAAACUCUUCAUAUUUUAUAUAUUUCAUGAUAUUAAUAAGAAUAUCAAGAACAACCGACACUGCUCGACCCUGUUCAAGAUCUAGCAGUAAAGUUUUAUCAUGAGUAGUAUAUUUCAUGAUAUUAAUAAGUUAGGCAAACGUAGGUAGGAUGCAUGUUGUUUCCUUUUCAUACCCUAGAUAGGUCCAAACUUCUACGUUCUAGACCUAAUUAUUUAAAUCCAAACCCUUUUCAAAGAGGUUGGCUGAUUUAUACUUUGCA
Molecule: RNA transcript, 4262 nt
Organism: Populus nigra (black poplar)
Lineage: Eukaryota; Viridiplantae; Streptophyta; Magnoliopsida; Malpighiales; Salicaceae
Gene name: receptor-like protein Cf-9
Exons: 3
Source: RefSeq, a predicted model, not a curated record